GGAAGUGGAGGCGCGUAGCUGUCGGAGUCCGCGCUAGGGCCCCAAACCGGGGGGGCCGGUAAAGCCGCCCCCGCGGGAAACCCUUUCCCCGGCCGGAGUUCGGCCUCAUUCCUUGCCCCGCAGUCUCGCACCUUCAGUCCCCGGCGGGGACGUAGUUUCCCAAGUUCAGCCCUCCUUACACAAGUGCCCUCCUCCAGGUCAGGCCAUUUUACUCCGUGCUGGACAUCCCUGUACGUGGCCUGCAAAAGCCCCGAAUGAAGCCCCUGCUAUUAUAGGGCUUCGGGAACUGACCGCCCUCUAGUUAACACGAGCUACCUCCCAGGGAACUACAGUCGUCCCUCCAAGUGAUGUGUGUGUUCCCAGGAUUCUGCACCCACUCAAGCUACACUCUUCCUAGCUGACAGUUCCAUCUACCCCUAGCUUCAAGUUUAUGCAGACUAUCACCUAAGUGUGUACUUCCAGCCUGUGCUUCAGAAAACCCACAUUUCCGGUUUUUUUCAAGGAGAGAGGAAAGAUGGGAAAGUUGGCAGACAGUUACAAAUGUUUAAAAGCAGUGUCUUCAGACUUUAGCAAGGGCGAUAUCCUGUUUUCCUAAAAUACUUUGUUGAAGAGACUGACCUUUCUCCCAUUGAGUGAUCUUGGCCACCCUUGUCAAAAAUCAAGUGGCCAUAGAUGGGAGGAUUUAUUCUGGGCUCUCAAGUUUAUUCCUUUGGUCUAUAUAUCUAUCCUGUGCUAGUACCACACUGUUUUGACAACUGUAGCUUUAUAUAACUUCCUUUAAUUUGUUCCUUUUCAAGCUUGUUUUGGCUAUUCAGGGUCCUUUGAAAUUCCAUGUUAAUCUUAGGAUGGGGUUUUCCACUUUUGAAAAAGAAAAACAAAAGGCAAAAAAAUGCCAUUGGACUUUUGAUAUGGAUUACAUUGAAUCUGUAUAUCAGUUUUCCAGCCCAUGAACAUGGCAUGUUUUUCCAAUUUUUUAGGUCUUCUUUAAUUUCUUUCAGCAAUGUUUUGUAGUUUUCAGUGUGUAUCAUUAGUUAACUUUAUUUUUAAGUAUUUUCUUUUUGAUACUAUUUUAAAUGGAAUUGUUUUCUUAAUUUCCUUUUUGGACUGUUCAUUGCUAGUAUAUGAAAAUGCAGAUUAGUUUUAUGCAUUGAUUUUGUAUCCUGCAACUUGGCUCAAUUCAUUUAUUAGCCCUAGUAUGUGUGUGUGUGUGUGUGUGUGUGUGUGUGUGUGUGUGUGU
Manis pentadactyla (Chinese pangolin) is the source of this 1237-nucleotide long non-coding RNA. RefSeq lists it as uncharacterized. The record is from RefSeq and is a predicted model, not a curated record. The transcript has 3 exons. NCBI's taxonomy places the organism in Eukaryota, Metazoa, Chordata, Mammalia, Pholidota, Manidae.